AUUGAACGCUGGCGGCAGGCUUAACACAUGCAAGUCGAGCGGGGGAAGGUAGCUUGCUACCGGACCUAGCGGCGGACGGGUGAGUAAUGCUUAGGAAUCUGCCUAUUAGUGGGGGACAACAUCUCGAAAGGGAUGCUAAUACCGCAUACGUCCUACGGGAGAAAGCAGGGGAUCUUCGGACCUUGCGCUAAUAGAUGAGCCUAAGUCGGAUUAGCUAGUUGGUGGGGUAAAGGCCUACCAAGGCGACGAUCUGUAGCGGGUCUGAGAGGAUGAGCCGCCACACUGGACUGAGAGACGGCCCAGACUCCUACGGGAGGCAGCAGUGGGGAAUAUUGGACAAUGGGGGGAACCCUGAUCCAGCCAUGCCGCGUGUGUGAAGAAGGCCUUAUGGUUGUAAAGCACUUUAAGCGAGGAGGAGGCUACUUUAGUUAAUACCUAGGGAUAGUGGACGUUACUCGCAGAAUAAGCACCGGCUAACUCUGUGCCAGCCGCCGCCGUAA
Molecule: ribosomal RNA, 500 nt
Filed under: uncultured bacterium
Lineage: Bacteria
Description: partial 16S ribosomal RNA
Rfam family: Bacterial small subunit ribosomal RNA
Source: RNAcentral